CAUGCUUAACACAUGCAAGUCGAACGGAAACGAUGGAAGCUUGCUUCCNGGCGUCGAGUGGCGAACGGGUGAGUAAUGCUUGGGAAUCUGCCUAAUAGUGGGGAACAACUCGGGGAAACUCGGGCUAAUACCGCAUAAUCUCUUCGGAGGAAAGGGGGCCUCUACAUGUAAGCUCUCGCUAAUAGAUGAGCCCAAGUCAGAUUAGCUUGUUGGUAAGGUAACGGCUUACCAAGGCUACGAUCUGUAGCUGGUCUGAGAGGAUGAUCAGCCACACUGGGACUGAGACACGGCCCAGACUCCUACGGGAGGCAGCAGUGGGGAAUAUUGCACAAUGGGCGAAAGCCUGAUGCAGCAAUGCCGCGUGUGUGAAGAAGGCUCUAGGGUUGUAAAGCACUUUCAAUAAGGAAGAAAAGCAUAAGGUUAAUAACCUUAUGUAUUGACGUAACUUAUACAAGAAGCACCGGCUAAUUCCGUGCCAGCAGCCGCGGUAAUACGGAAGGUGCAAGCGUUAAUCGGAAUUACUGGGCGUAAAGCGCGCGUAGGCUGUUAUCUAAGUCGGAUGUGAAAUCCUCGGGCUCAACCCGGGAACUGCAUCCGAAACUAAAUAACUAGAGUAUGGGAGAGGUAAGUAGAAUUUCCGGUGUAGCGGUGAAAUGCGUAGAUAUCGGAAGGAAUACCAGUGGCGAAGGCGGCUUACUGGACCAAUACUGACGCUGAGGUGCGAAAGCGUGGGGAGCGAACAGGAUUAGAUACCCUGGUAGUCCACGCCGUAAACGAUGAGAACUAGAUGUUGGGAGGGUUAGCCUCUCAGUGUCGCAGCUAACGCAUUAAGUUCUCCGCCUGGGGA
RNAcentral lists this ribosomal RNA (847 nucleotides) under uncultured Gammaproteobacteria bacterium. RNAcentral's name for it is "SSU rRNA". It matches the Rfam family "Bacterial small subunit ribosomal RNA", at positions 43 to 879 of the family's 1533-position model. The record is from RNAcentral. Lineage: Bacteria; Pseudomonadati; Pseudomonadota; Gammaproteobacteria.